AAAGGAAUUGACGGGGACCCGCACAAGCAGCGGAGCAUGUGGUUUAAUUCGAAGCAACGCGAAGAACCUUACCAAGGCUUGACAUCCCCUUGACCGGUACUUAGUCGUACCCUUUUCUUCGGAAACAAGGGAGACAGGUGGUGCAUGGUUGUCGUCAGCUCGUGUCGUGAGAUGUUGGGUUAAGUCCCGCAACGAGCGCAACCCUUAUCCUUAGUUGCCAUCAGAUAAAGCUGGGCCCUCUAAGGAGACUGCCGAUGAUAAAUCGGAGGAAGGUGGGGAUGACGUCAAAUCAUCAUGCCCCUUAUGUCUUGGGCUACACACGUGCUACAAUGGUCGGUACAACGGGUAGCGAAGGAGCAAUCCGGAGCAAAACCUAAUAAACCGAUCCCAGUUCGGAUUGUAGGCUGCAACUCGCCUACAUGAAGUCGGAGUUGCUAGUAAUCGCGAAUCAGCACGUCGCGGUGAAUGCGUUCCCGGGUCUUGCACACACCGCCCGU
This 497-nucleotide ribosomal RNA is filed under the name uncultured bacterium. Its description in RNAcentral is "bacterial SSU rRNA". It matches the Rfam family "Bacterial small subunit ribosomal RNA", at positions 903 to 1397 of the family's 1533-position model. The record is from RNAcentral.